Molecule: ribosomal RNA, 253 nt
Filed under: uncultured bacterium
Lineage: Bacteria
Description: partial 16S ribosomal RNA
Rfam family: Bacterial small subunit ribosomal RNA
Source: RNAcentral
UACGGAGGGGACUAGCGUUGUUCGGAAUUACUGGGCGUAAAGCGCACGUAGGCGGAUUUGUAAGUCAGGGGUGAAAUCCCGGGGCUCAACCUCGGAACUGCCUUUGAUACUGCAAAUCUCGAGUCCGGAAGAGGUUAGUGGAAUUCCCAGUGUAGAGGUGAAAUUCGUAGAUAUUGGGAAGAACACCAGUGGCGAAGGCGGCUAACUGGUCCAGAUCUGACGCUGAGGUGCGAAAGCGUGGGGAGCAAACAGG